Molecule: long non-coding RNA, 2005 nt
Organism: Balaenoptera ricei (Rice's whale)
Lineage: Eukaryota; Metazoa; Chordata; Mammalia; Artiodactyla; Balaenopteridae
Exons: 5
Source: RefSeq, a predicted model, not a curated record
CCUUGGGCCGCUGAGGGGAGGAGCCGAGCGGCGUUCGCGGGAGGCAGCUUCCUCGACCUUCAGGCGCCCGGAGACAAGCGGGAGGACAGGAAUCUCUAAAGAGUGAGAGGAAAACUGAUGACAGGCACUGCCCAAAGAAGAUGGAACUGUCAUAGUUGUUUUUGUUUAGGAUCUGCUUACCCCCCUGAGAACAUAAGCUUGAUGAAGGCAAGGACCGUUUCUUAUCACUGUUGAAUCCCAGUUCCUGGUACAGUGCCUGGCACAUAGUGGAUGGUCAAUGGAUUUAUGAAUGAAUGAACAAAUUAACAAACAACCAUGGGGUGUGUGAAGAGCAGUAAAAAGACUGGACUAUUUGGAAAGAAGUGUCUUUCCUUGAGGAGUAGAGGAAUCUCCGAUUCUCCAACAGACUGGCAGAGGAACAAGUAAAUGGGCCUGCAUGGGAUUCAAAACACAGGGGCAAGUGGAACCAGCUGAACAAGAUAACAAUAGAGGUGAAGCCUAACCCUGGAAACCAGUCAAGAUUUCCAAAGAUAAACCCUCGGGCAGCAAGAACACUGUCAAUGAAAAGAAACUGACCUUUCGCCUUCUGGAGUCGCAGAAUUCCCACAAAUGCUGUGUCCUCAUCAGCUCUGGCAGCCUCGCCACCACAGCCCAGGCUUCGACGCCAAUUCAUAAACAGCACGGAGGGGGCUGUGCUAGAAGUCAGAGCUUCUCCACCUCCAGCACCUCAAAAUACAGGCUCCCUGCCACCCCAUUUUCUUCUAGAGGUUAACCUUCUCCCCAGGCUCACAAAGUUAUGAGAGCCUUUAAGGGGUUUUCCUCUGACAGUGUGGUCUAGUCUGCUGCUGCUGAAGAGAUCUCAGGAUGGUCCCUAGGCUUUGUGAUUCAAAAUAAGGAGAAUGGAUAAACAGAGACAAGACUGAAGAGGCAGAAGGAAAGGAGGAGAUGAACAAAAGACAGAACAGAAGAAAUGGAAAGUGAGGGGUUAAGACAGUGAGGAGCUCCAGAGCUGAUGAAAUGUAAGAAUCAGGUGAGGAAAGUGAAGUUUAAGAAUUGUUCCUAAAAUUUUUAAUGCUUUUUAAUGUUCUUAGAGAAUGGCAAGAAAAAUUUGAAUUUGUUUUAAAAUAGUUCUGGUUGCUAGACUAUUUUUCAGUUCAGCAUUGCUUUGAGACUGAGCCUUGUGAUGUCCAGCUUAUAUUUGGGUUAUACAUGACACCUCCUUCCUCAUUUGCCACAUCUAAACAGUUGCCAAACCCUGUAAUUUUUUUCCCUGCCAGGCUUAUCACUACUGCCCAACAACACCAUACAUGCCAGCUCGACUUCCUCACACCUCCAACUUUUUUCUUUCUUUGAACUGUGGCUCAUUCUGUUUCCUACACCCAGAAUCACUGCCUAUAUCUAUCAUAAGUUCUUUCUAUACUUCAAAAACCAGCUCAGAUUCCACCUUCUCAAGGAGACCUUCCCUGUUGGCGCUUUACACAUUCUACAUUCCUUCCUGCCCUUGCACUUGCAAUUUUCCAAAACAACAGUAAUAAUAAUGAUGGGAGUUCCCUGGUGGCCUAGUGGUUAGGAUUAGGUGCUGUCACUGGCAUGGCCCAGGUUCAAUCCCUGGUCAAGGAACUGAGAUCUCACAAGCUGCAUGGUGGCCAAAAUAUGAAAAAAAAAAAAAAUGAUGAUGGUGGUACCAAGGACUAAUAUUUAUAUUGAGCUCAUUGUGUCCAGGCACUAUUAUAAGUGCUUUGCACAUAUUAUUUCAUUUAAUUCUUGCAACAGCCCUGUAAGGUAGUACUGUGGGAACUAAGAAAGGGUAAAGCGACUUCCCUAAGGUUACAUGGCUAUAAUUGUCACCAACAGGAUUUGAAUCCAGGCCUCAGAAUCUGUAUUAUUUCUAGAAUGUACUUACAUUUUAAUACUUCAAUAUAUGACUGAAUAUAUUCCUGUCAUUCCUCUAUGUCUACAGGCAGUUUUCAUUUGCUACUGCUUCACAUUUUGCACCUCCCCCUAU